This 442-nucleotide ribosomal RNA is filed under the name uncultured Gammaproteobacteria bacterium. RNAcentral describes it as "bacterial SSU rRNA". It matches the Rfam family "Bacterial small subunit ribosomal RNA", at positions 61 to 493 of the family's 1533-position model. Lineage: Bacteria; Pseudomonadati; Pseudomonadota; Gammaproteobacteria. The record is from RNAcentral.
GUCGAACGGUAGCACAGAGAGCUUGCUCUUCGGGUGACGAGUGGCGGACGGGUGAGUAAUGUCUGGGAAACUGCCUGAUGGAGGGGGAUAACUACUGGAAACGGUAGCUAAUACCGCAUAACGUCGCAAGACCAAAGAGGGGGACCUUCGGGCCUCUUGCCAUCAGAUGUGCCCAGAUGGGAUUAGCUAGUAGGUGGGGUAACGGCUCACCUAGGCGACGAUCCCUAGCUGGUCUGAGAGGAUGACCAGCCACACUGGAACUGAGACACGGUCCAGACUCCUACGGGAGGCAGCAGUGGGGAAUAUUGCACAAUGGGCGCAAGCCUGAUGCAGCCAUGCCGCGUGUAUGAAGAAGGCCUUCGGGUUGUAAAGUACUUUCAGCGGGGAGGAAGGUGUUGCGGUUACUAACCGAAGCAAUUGACGUUACCCGCAGAAGAAGCAC